This 278-nucleotide ribosomal RNA is filed under the name uncultured Eubacteriales bacterium. Its description in RNAcentral is "uncultured Clostridiales bacterium partial 16S ribosomal RNA". It matches the Rfam family "Bacterial small subunit ribosomal RNA", at positions 59 to 339 of the family's 1533-position model. The record is from RNAcentral. Lineage: Bacteria; Bacillati; Bacillota; Clostridia; Eubacteriales. RNAcentral also lists the same sequence under 1 other name.
ACGGAUUUCUUCGGAUUGAAGUCUGGGCGACUGAGCGGCGGACGGGUGAGUAACGCGUGGGUAACCUGCCUCAUACAGGGGGAUAACAGUUAGAAAUGACUGCUAAUACCGCAUAAGCGCACGAAGGCGCAUGCCUUUGUGUGAAAAACUCCGGUGGUAUGAGAUGGACCCGCGUUAGAUUAGCCAGUUGGCAGGGUAACGGCCUACCAAAGCGACGAUCUAUAGCCGGCCUGAGAGGGCGACCGGCCACAUUGGGACUGAGACACGGCCCAAACUCC